This is a ribosomal RNA of Scophthalmus maximus (turbot), 118 nucleotides long. Lineage: Eukaryota; Metazoa; Chordata; Actinopteri; Pleuronectiformes; Scophthalmidae. The record is from Ensembl.
GCUUACGGCCACACCGCCUGGUUCACGCCCGAUCUCGUUUGAUCUCGGAAGCUAAGAUAGGGUGGGCCUGGUUGUACUUGGAUGGGAGACCGCCUGGGAAUACCAGGUGUUGUAAGAU